Syngnathus acus (greater pipefish) is the source of this 285-nucleotide long non-coding RNA. RefSeq lists it as uncharacterized. The record is from RefSeq and is a predicted model, not a curated record. The transcript is spliced from 3 exons. Lineage: Eukaryota; Metazoa; Chordata; Actinopteri; Syngnathiformes; Syngnathidae.
AUUAUUCAAAAUGGGACUGUCAGCCAUUAACAUUGUUUUGUUAACGCAAAUCACAACAGGGAAGUGGGGGUCAGACCCGGAGGACCAAGCCCACAGUUGAAAACCCCAACAGGAAGUGUUAAACAAAGUGGCGUUAGGAGGCCGUAUUUGACCAUCAGGGAGUGUAAAAGUCAGAACGAGGUUUGAGCCUCGGUUCUUCAAAGUUACUCGUUUAGCAAAAAACACAGCCUCUUCACUGGACCCAGGAGGCCAAUAUCCUGGCUCUUGUGAGGUGAUGAAGGCGCU